This 492-nucleotide ribosomal RNA is filed under the name uncultured bacterium. Its description in RNAcentral is "partial 16S ribosomal RNA". It matches the Rfam family "Bacterial small subunit ribosomal RNA", at positions 29 to 507 of the family's 1533-position model. The record is from RNAcentral.
AGUGAACGCUGGCGGUAGGCCUAACACAUGCAAGUCGGACGGCAGCACAGUAAGAGCUUGCUCUUACGGGUGGCGAGUGGCGGACGGGUGAGGAAUACAUCGGAAUCUACUUUUUCGUGGGGGAUAACGUAGGGAAACUUACGCUAAUACCGCAUACGACCUACGGGUGAAAGCAGGGGAUCUUCGGACCUUGCGCGAUUGAAUGAGCCGAUGUCGGAUUAGCUAGUUGGCGGGGUAAAGGCCCACCAAGGCGACGAUCCGUAGCUGGUCUGAGAGGAUGAUCAGCCACACUGGAACUGAGACACGGUCCAGACUCCUACGGGAGGCAGCAGUGGAGAAUAUUGGACAAUGGGCGCAAGCCUGAUCCAGCCAUACCGCGUGGGUGAAGAAGGCCUUCGGGUUGUAAAGCCCUUUUGUUGGGAAAGAAAAGCAGCAGGUUAAUACCCCGCUGUUCUGACGGUACCCAAAGAAUAAGCACCGGCUAACUUCGUG